CCCUUAGAUGUUCUGGGCCGCACGCGCGCUACACUGAUGCAUGCAACAAGUCUUUUCCUUGGCCGAGAGGCCUGGGCAAUCUUUGAAUAUGCAUCGUGAUGGGGAUAGACGAUUGCAAUUAUUCGUCUUCAACGAGGAAUUCCUAGUAAACGCAAGUCAUCAGCUUGCAUUGAUUACGUCCCUGCCCUUUGUACACACCGCCCGUCGCACCUACCGAUUGAAUGGUCCGGUGAAGGCUUCGGAGGCGGCUUUCUCAAUGUUUAUUCGGCGAGACUGCUGCCAAAGUUGAAUGAACCUUACCAUUUAGAGGAAGGAGAAGUCGUANCA
This 327-nucleotide ribosomal RNA is filed under the name uncultured eukaryote. RNAcentral describes it as "partial 18S ribosomal RNA". It matches the Rfam family "Eukaryotic small subunit ribosomal RNA", at positions 1470 to 1796 of the family's 1831-position model. The record is from RNAcentral.